AAGACCAUACUUUCUGGCUCAUUUCUAUAGUUUGUUACUAGAGAAGUUUCUCAGAAUGUGUAGAGUCCCAAGUUAAUAGGUGAAGAGUAAAAACCAGA
Ailuropoda melanoleuca (giant panda) is the source of this 98-nucleotide small nucleolar RNA. Its record names the gene U3. It matches the Rfam family "Small nucleolar RNA U3". Rfam says of the family: Small nucleolar RNAs (snoRNAs) are involved in the processing and modification of rRNA in the nucleolus. There are two main classes of snoRNAs: the box C/D class, and the box H/ACA class. U3 snoRNA is a member of the box C/D class. NCBI's taxonomy places the organism in Eukaryota, Metazoa, Chordata, Mammalia, Carnivora, Ursidae. The record is from Ensembl.